This 425-nucleotide ribosomal RNA is filed under the name uncultured bacterium. RNAcentral describes it as "partial 16S ribosomal RNA". It matches the Rfam family "Bacterial small subunit ribosomal RNA", at positions 354 to 796 of the family's 1533-position model. The record is from RNAcentral.
GUGGGGAAUCUUGCGCAAUGGGCGAAAGCCUGACGCAGCCAUGCCGCGUGAAUGAUGAAGGUCUUAGGAUUGUAAAAUUCUUUCACCGGGGACGAUAAUGACGGUACCCGGAGAAGAAGCUCCGGCUAACUUCGUGCCAGCAGCCGCGGUAAUACGAAGGGGGCUAGCGUUGCUCGGAAUUACUGGGCGUAAAGGGCGCGUAGGCGGACAGCUUAGUCAGAGGUGAAAGCCCAGGGCUCAACCUUGGAAUUGCCUUUGAUACUGGCUGUCUUGAGUUUGGGAGAGGUGAGUGGAACUCCGAGUGUAGAGGUGAAAUUCGUAGAUAUUCGGAAGAACACCAGUGGCGAAGGCGACUCACUGGCCCAAUUCUGACGCUGAGGCGCGAAAGCGUGGGGAGCAAACAGGAUUAGAAACCCCGGUAGUCC